This 50-nucleotide non-coding RNA is filed under the name human gut metagenome. The record is from RNAcentral.
CGGAGGAUGGAUUUGACUGCUUGCAACCUCAAUAAAAAAUGCUAAAACCU